Molecule: ribosomal RNA, 301 nt
Filed under: uncultured bacterium
Lineage: Bacteria
Description: partial 16S ribosomal RNA
Rfam family: Bacterial small subunit ribosomal RNA
Source: RNAcentral
CAGCAGCCGCGGUAAUACGUAGGGUGCAAGCGUUAAUCGGAAUUACUGGGCGUAAAGCGUGCGCAGGCGGUUAUAUAAGACAGAUGUGAAAUCCCCGGGCUCAACCUGGGAACUGCAUUUGUGACUGUAUAGCUAGAGUACGGCAGAGGGGGAUGGAAUUCCGCGUGUAGCAGUGAAAUGCGUAGAUAUGCGGAGGAACACCGAUGGCGAAGGCAAUCCCCUGGGCCUGUACUGACGCUCAUGCACGAAAGCGUGGGGAGCAAACAGGAUUAGAUACCCGCGUAGUCCCUGUCUCUUAUAU